CACGUAGGGCGCAAGCGUUGUCCGGAAUUAUUGGGCGUAAAGAGCUCGUAGGCGGUCUGUUGCGUCCGCUGUGAAAACUCGGGGCUUAACCCCGAGCCUGCAGUGGAUACGGGCAGACUAGAGGUAGGUAGGGGAGAACGGAAUUCCUGGUGUAGCGGUGAAAUGCGCAGAUAUCAGGAGGAACACCGAUGGCGAAGGCAGGUCUCUGGGCAUUAACUGACGCUGAGGAGCGAAAGCAUGGGGAGCGAACAGG
This 253-nucleotide ribosomal RNA is filed under the name uncultured bacterium. Its description in RNAcentral is "partial 16S ribosomal RNA". It matches the Rfam family "Bacterial small subunit ribosomal RNA", at positions 524 to 776 of the family's 1533-position model. The record is from RNAcentral.